This 119-nucleotide small RNA is filed under the name Marmota monax (woodchuck). The record is from RNAcentral. Lineage: Eukaryota; Metazoa; Chordata; Mammalia; Rodentia; Sciuridae.
GCCUGGUGCGGUGGUGCACACCUGUGAUCCUAGCGGCUCGGGAGGCUGAGGCAGGAGGAUCGGGAGUUCAAAGCCAGCAACAGCGAGGCGCUAAGCAACUCAGUGAGACCCUGUCUCUA